GAAUAUUGGACAAUGGGGGAAACCCUGAUCCAGCAAUGCCGCGUGGGUGAUGAAGGCCUUCGGGUUGUAAAGCCCUUUUGGCGGGGACGAUGAUGACGGUACCCGCAGAAUAAGCCCCGGCUAACUUCGUUCCAGCAGCCGCGGUAAUACGAAGGGGGCUAGCGUUGUUCGGAAUUACUGGGCGUAAAGGGCGCGCAGGCGGCUUUGUAAGUUGGGCGUGAAAGGCCUGGGCUUAACCCGGGAAUGGCGCUUGAGACUGCAAGGCUCGAGUACGGGAGAGGAUGGUGGAAUUCCCAGUGUAGAGGUGAAAUUCGUAGAUAUUGGGAAGAACACCGGUGGCGAAGGCGGCCGUCUGGACCGUAACUGACGCUGAGGCGCGAAAGCGUGGGGAGCAAACAGG
Molecule: ribosomal RNA, 400 nt
Filed under: uncultured bacterium
Lineage: Bacteria
Description: bacterial SSU rRNA
Rfam family: Bacterial small subunit ribosomal RNA
Source: RNAcentral